RNAcentral lists this ribosomal RNA (983 nucleotides) under Bacillus velezensis. RNAcentral's name for it is "partial 23S ribosomal RNA". It matches the Rfam family "Bacterial large subunit ribosomal RNA", at positions 1290 to 2268 of the family's 2925-position model. Lineage: Bacteria; Bacillati; Bacillota; Bacilli; Caryophanales; Bacillaceae. The record is from RNAcentral.
GAGAAUGCCGGUAUGAGUAGCGAAAGAGGGGUGAGAAUCCCCUCCACCGAAUGCCUAAGGUUUCCUGAGGAAGGCUCGUCCGCUCAGGGUUAGUCGGGACCUAAGCCGAGGCCGAAAGGCGUAGGCGAUGGACAACAGGUUGAUAUUCCUGUACCACCUCCUCACCAUUUGAGCAAUGGGGGGACGCAGGAGGAUAGGGUAAGCGCGGUAUUGGAUAUCCGCGUCCAAGCAGUUAGGCUGGGAAAUAGGCAAAUCCGUUUCCCGUGAAGGCUGAGCUGUGAUGGCGAGCGAAUUAUAGUAGCGAAGUUCCUGAUUCCACACUGCCAAGAAAAGCCUCUAGCGAGGUGAGAGGUGCCCGUACCGCAAACCGACACAGGUAGGCGAGGAGAGAAUCCUAAGGUGAUCGAGAGAACUCUCGUUAAGGAACUCGGCAAAAUGACCCCGUAACUUCGGGAGAAGGGGUGCUCUGUUAGGGUGCAAGCCCGAGAGAGCCGCAGUGAAUAGGCCCAGGCGACUGUUUAGCAAAAACACAGGUCUCUGCGAAGCCGUAAGGCGAAGUAUAGGGGCUGACGCCUGCCCGGUGCUGGAAGGUUAAGAGGAGCGCUUAGCGUAAGCGAAGGUGCGAAUUGAAGCCCCAGUAAACGGCGGCCGUAACUAUAACGGUCCUAAGGUAGCGAAAUUCCUUGUCGGGUAAGUUCCGACCCGCACGAAAGGCGCAACGAUCUGGGCACUGUCUCAACGAGAGACUCGGUGAAAUUAUAGUACCUGUGAAGAUGCAGGUUACCCGCGACAGGACGGAAAGACCCCGUGGAGCUUUACUGCAGCCUGAUAUUGAAUGUUGGUACAGCUUGUACAGGAUAGGUAGGAGCCUUGGAAACCGGAGCGCCAGCUUCGGUGGAGGCAUCGGUGGGAUACUACCCUGGCUGUAUUGACCUUCUAACCCGCCGCCCUUAUCGGGCGGGGAGACAGUGUCAGGUGGGCAG